Molecule: long non-coding RNA, 3429 nt
Filed under: Zostera marina
Lineage: Eukaryota; Viridiplantae; Streptophyta; Magnoliopsida; Alismatales; Zosteraceae
Description: long non-coding RNA (ZMAR_LNC000587)
Source: RNAcentral
UGAAAGUUAAUAGAGCAGUGAGGGGUUCUGGACGAGACUUGAAGAAGCAGUCAUCGAAUCCGACGACGACGGCGGCGUCGGUUUCGACGUCAUUGGGUUUGAGCUCCUCCGGGGAUGAUUUCAUAGCCAAAGGAUCUGGUUGCACCAUGUAUGCCUCCUGAAAUUUAAAAUUCCUUAAAAUUAAUCAGUUAUAACUGUGUAUUGUGGUUGUCUGUGAUCAUAGAUAGUACCAACUAACCUUGCAAAGACCCAUGAAAUCAUGAUCGGAUUCCCGAUCACCCAACCCUAAAUCCGGAAGCGCCGCCUCACCGAACUCCCUCAAAACACUAUCCUUCUUCUUACUCCCGACAAUAAUUCCGGGAUGCUCCACCCAUCCCGUCGUGAUUCCAUCCUUAACCUCCAACUCCGUCCCGAUAACCAGAUCCCCCCUCAACCGCUUCCUAACAAAGCUCUCCACCAAAACAGUCGGAUUCGCUGUCACCACCACCCGCCUCCUCCCGCACUGUCUGAACGCCCUCCAACUCUCCUCCCUCACGUCCUCGGCGUAGUACCGCGGGAGGAUAUCCUUGCAGACACGAGAGAUCCUGGAAAAUGGGAUUCCAGCGGUGGAGAUGAAGAUCAGGAGCUUGAUCGCAGCUGAUUCCGAGACUAAUUUGUAUAGAAAGAGAACGAAUGGGGAUGAGAGGAGGAGGAGGAUGCCGCGAGCGACGCUCCCUGCUUCCACGGAUAGAACCAUGAAGUAAGGGAAGGAGCUGCGGGAAACCAGUAGGGUUCCAUCAAGAUCCGCCGCCACUGUGUGGGCUUGGCGAUCGGUUGUUGCGUCGCAGUUGGAGAUCGGUGGAAAGGUGCAGGACCGUUGGAGUGGCAUUUUGGGAAUUUUACAACAAACAAUACACAUAAGAUAACUAUGGUCUAUGUAUAUAUAACGAAAUUACCAAAAGGCAUGGGGGAUGAGAAAUUAAGAAGUUAGGUAUAGUAGACGGGUUGUUGAACCAUUAAAUAUAUUUUAAAUAACUUAAACAACCUGUCAUGACCCAUCCCCGUUUCUUACCCUUACCCAUGGGCCGUUCAUUGCAAUUGAUAUGCUAAGUGCCUAAGUAUAUUUGAGGCGAAAUUCAAAUGAGGCAAUUUAAGAUAUUUGAAUCUCAGUCAUUAGUUAAGUUAUAUUUUGAAUAAAAAAAUCAAUAUCGAGAUAAACUGAAGGUAUGAGUAGAUUAGUGUCCUUUUGGAAUCUAACAUUUAUGUUACCAUGAAAUUAUUUUCCUUUAUUUGCAAAAAAAAAAGAAUCUUUUCCUUUGUGUCAAAUAGUAUGUAUCUUUAUUCUCUUUGAUUUGUUAAGGCAUAGCAAAAACAUCCAAAUAUCUUCAUAGAUGGGUAGUCAGGGAUUGAUUUGUUUAAUAUUUCAAAUGAGAACUUUAGGUUUGUCUAUUGUUGGAGAUGGUAACCUGUCUAUUAUAAAGGAUGCAUGAAGGAUGUCCUCAUCUCAAAAAUGUUCAGGCACAUUGAUUGGAAUCUAACUGACUUUGGCAUCUUGUCUGAUAGAAGGUCCCAUUCUUCGAAAGAAAUGUUUAGAGUGAUGAACAUGUGAAUUACGUUCCAUUGUUAGACCUGAAGGUCUUUAUGGAUUUUGUAAAAUUUUAUGAUGAUUUUAGAAACCUCUUAUUUAUGUGUCAUCAGAUAAAUCUUAGGUAGUUAUGGAGUGAUCCUCUAGAAUUGUUAAGGAAUAAUAUUUGUUGUGAUGUGUGGGGGUAUAAUAUCCCCCCCCCAUCUAGAUGCACAAGUUCAAAUAAAUUAUUAGACCUGGAUCCCUUAUUAGAGAAGGGUAAUUUAGCAUGUUUAUAUAAGUGCCAAAUAGAACAAUGUAUAUGAAUAGGUUUUGAAGAAAUGUUUAAACUGUUUAGAAUAAAAUAGAUACUUUAUGUUUAAACUGUCCUAGUCUGCAGUGUCAUGUGUUGAAGUUUGGAUUGCCUUAGGCUGCAGUUGCAAAAUGAUGGGUGAAUGAUAUGAGGUAGUAGAGCCAUUGUUGAAGGUCACCGUACCAAUCUGAUUCAUUGAUACUUUAUAAAAUACUGUACAUUCAGAAAUUGAAAAAUUAAUUAGACAGGUAUCAACAAGUUUACCAAUGGAUGGAUAUAAGGUUGAUUGUGAAGUCUGGAAUGUAUAAUACAUUUUUUAGUGUUAGUGUGGGAGAGAGCUUAAUUGUUCCCCUCUGUAGGAUUUGGUGAGAAUUCUCAUUAGGGGUUUGGACCCACUUAUUCUGACAGUCACAUAAAUCAGUGAAAAGUGCAAUAUUGCUACUACGCAUGUGCUCAGAGGCACCACUAUCUAGAAUCCACUGAUUUAUUUGGGUAAAAUAACAGUAAAAGGGUGAGUUACCUGAAUUUUGGAGGGAGGCAACACACUUGACUGGAUUGUAGGGGUGACCCCCCUCUAGUGUGGAGGUGCUUUCUUUUUUUGAUGUGUCGACUGUCUCAUUUGAUAUGUGCCAUGUGUUGUUGGCCUAACUCUCCCAUUGUUUGGUCUUUUGGUUUCAUGAGGAAACCCAUGUAGUUUGUAGCAUCUUUGUAUGCUGUGUACGCCCAUAUUGUAGAAUAUAAAUUCUUGAUGCAUAUAGUAUUUAUAACUAAUAAUAUCUUGAUAAUUCAACUGAUCACAUCAAUUUAAAAAUCCUAAAUAGAGACUCACCCCACAUGCUACAUCAUAUAGAUGAAACCCUAAUUGAUAUGCAUAGGUUAUUGAACUAUUAUGAUAUAUGUACUUUGAUAUGCAUAGGUAUUGAACUCCUAUGAUAGAUCUACUUUGAUAUGCAUGGACAUUUGAACUACUAUGGUGGAUGCACUUUGAAGAGAAAAAAUCGAUUUUUCCUAAAUGUUUGGAUCAAGAAUGGAUAAACAAGACGAAGUGCACAUUUCUCUAAUGGAGCUACUCAAACUAUGUGCAAACACCCAUCUCAAAUAAAGGAUCCAAUGACCACCAAGGCUAUCUAUACACUCCUAUGGGAACAUAUUUUGCCAAAAUAUGUUACCUUCAAAGGCAACAUAUUACAUCCACUUUGCCAAAAUCGCCUCAAACAUUAAAGAGAGCUAGCUCUAGUUCUCAAAAUUUUCAAGUGCUUAUCAGUUCAAGUGUUCUCCUUAACAAGUGCUCAUCUACUUACAAUCAGGUGCUCUUAUUCUAUUUUUAAUCUUCUUUGUGCGAUCAACAAAAACCUUGUGCAAAACUGAGUAUGAUAGAAUUAGGUCUCUGAAAACUGUAUGAGAAAUCUGGUUAGCCCUAGAAUGUUUACAUAACAUGUUUGGGAAAAUAGAUUGAAAAGUUUAUGCGAGUAAGAUUAUGUAAUAAUGCAAUAUAAAACUUAUCAUAUAUGAGAUAUGUUUAUAAUUAUAUUCAAGGUUUGUUACUGAUAUUAGGCCAGGCUAGCCAGAGGCC